UUAAUUGAAACCAAAAAGCGGUAUACCACUGUUAAUGGUAAAAUUGAAUGAUAUUUCCAAUUAAA
This 65-nucleotide transfer RNA is filed under the name Epicauta chinensis. RNAcentral describes it as "tRNA-Asn". RNAcentral also lists the same sequence under 1 other name. Lineage: Eukaryota; Metazoa; Arthropoda; Insecta; Coleoptera; Meloidae. The record is from RNAcentral.